CUCUAGAAAACAUUUUUUGGAAUCUCAAAGUGCAUGAAUUAAAAUGUUAUUUUUACUUCUUUUCAGCCUGUUGAGGAGCAGACUGUGAAGGGGCACAUCAGCCCAGGAGAAAGCACGCCGAGCAGCCGUGUGGGGAUGAGCAGACGUCUGCGGGAACUCUCCCUCAAGGAUGUGGGCCAUUUACCUCCUCUUCUCUCUCCUUUGCCUGGAAUCCCCAUGGCUCUGCCCUCGGCACUGGGAGGACUGAAGGUGAUUUGACCAGCAUCAUCAGCAGAAGUCUAGAAGAAAUGACAGCAAGAGACUUCACCCAGAGGCACCAGUGAAAUGAUCCUUGGAAAGCCUCCAGGAAUGCAGGCUGUGACGGUUUGUAAUCCCAAGCUGUCCAGGGUUGGGUC
This 395-nucleotide long non-coding RNA is filed under the name Mustela putorius furo (domestic ferret). RNAcentral describes it as "lncRNA (ENSMPUG00000030586.1)". Lineage: Eukaryota; Metazoa; Chordata; Mammalia; Carnivora; Mustelidae. The record is from RNAcentral.